RNAcentral lists this transfer RNA (91 nucleotides) under Colletotrichum sublineola. Its description in RNAcentral is "tRNA-Pro". Lineage: Eukaryota; Fungi; Ascomycota; Sordariomycetes; Glomerellales; Glomerellaceae. The record is from RNAcentral.
GCCCUGAUGGUCUAGCGGUAUGAUUCUCCCUUAGGGUUGCGACUCGCUGCUCGUUUGGGAGAGGUCCCAGGUUCGAUCCCUGGUUAGGGCC